CAGUCGCCGCGGGAAUACGGAGGGUGCAAGCGUUAAUCGGAAUUACUGGGCGUAAAGCGCACGCAGGCGGUCUGUCAAGUCAGAUGUGAAAUCCCCGGGCUUAACCUGGGAACUGCAUUUGAAACUGGCAGGCUAGAGUCUUGUAGAGGGGGGUAGAAUUCCAGGUGUAGCGGUGAAAUGCGUAGAGAUCUGAAGGAAUACCGGUGGCGAAGGCGGCCCCCUGGACAAAGACUGACGCUCAGGUGCGAAAGCGUGGGGAGCAAACAGGAUUAGAUACCCGUGUAGUCCCUGUCUCUUAUAC
RNAcentral lists this ribosomal RNA (301 nucleotides) under uncultured bacterium. RNAcentral's name for it is "partial 16S ribosomal RNA". It matches the Rfam family "Bacterial small subunit ribosomal RNA", at positions 509 to 807 of the family's 1533-position model. The record is from RNAcentral.